CCUACGUGUGGCAGCAGUGAGGAAUAUUGGUCAAUGGGCGCGAGCCUGAACCAGCCAAGUAGCGUGAAGGAUGACUGCCCUACGGGUUGUAAACUUCUUUUAUAAAGGAAUAAAGUGAGGCACGUGUGCCUUUUUGUAUGUACUUUAUGAAUAAGGAUCGGCUAACUCCGUGCCAGCAGCCGCGGUAAUCCGGAGGAUCCGAGCGUUAUCCGGAUUUAUUGGGUUUAAAGGGCGCGUAGAUGGGUUGUUAAGUCAGUUGUGAAAGUUUGCGGCUCAACCGUAAAAUUGCAAUUGAUACUGGCAGUCUUGAGUACAGUUGAGGUAGGCGGAAUUCGUGGUGUAGCGGUGAAAUGCGUAGAGAUCACGAAGAACUCCGAUUGCGAAGGCAGCUUACUAAACUGCCACUGACAUUGAUGCUCGAAAGUGUGGGUAUCAAACAGGAUUAGAUACCCCUGUAGUC
RNAcentral lists this ribosomal RNA (460 nucleotides) under uncultured bacterium. Its description in RNAcentral is "partial 16S ribosomal RNA". It matches the Rfam family "Bacterial small subunit ribosomal RNA", at positions 338 to 795 of the family's 1533-position model. The record is from RNAcentral.